This 200-nucleotide ribosomal RNA is filed under the name uncultured amoeba. RNAcentral's name for it is "partial 18S ribosomal RNA". The record is from RNAcentral.
UUUUUCUUUUCAGGARGGAAAUUGGGGGAUGGAGGAGAAUAGAAWCCUGUUGGUUUUACCCAUAAACUUUGCGGCUUGGGAACGGGGGGGUUUUCURKUUGAUCCCCGGGCACCUUACGUAUUAUCAAAGUGUUUGGGUUCUGGGGGAGUAUGUCGCAAGGCUGAAACUAAAGAAAUGACGGAAGGCAACCCACAGUGGC